Molecule: unclassified non-coding RNA, 147 nt
Filed under: soil metagenome
Description: partial internal transcribed spacer 1
Source: RNAcentral
CCGAGUUUACAACUCCCAAACCCCUGUGAACAUACCACUUGUUGCCUCGGCGGAUCAGCCUGCUCCCGGUAAAACGGGACGGCCCACCAGAGGACCCCUAAACUCUGUUUCUAUAUGUAACUUCUGAGUAAAACCAUAAAUAAAUCA